Zingiber officinale is the source of this 700-nucleotide long non-coding RNA. RefSeq lists it as uncharacterized. The transcript is spliced from 3 exons. The record is from RefSeq and is a predicted model, not a curated record. NCBI's taxonomy places the organism in Eukaryota, Viridiplantae, Streptophyta, Magnoliopsida, Zingiberales, Zingiberaceae.
AAGCAUAAAAUUGGCCUGACCCAUCUCGAAGUCUCUCCUCGCUCCCGUUGCUCUUCUUCAUCUUGUUCGAAAUCUUCUUGUACAUUAUACAACGCCAAGGUUCAUCGAAAGAGAGCGAAACAUGGGAGAGAGGCAGUGAAAGGCGGAGGAGCGCCUCCGUGCCCCACUCUUGUUCGGUAUUCGCACUGAAUUCUAGGGUUUCGUCCUAUCCGGCGCGUGGUUCGAGACGGGUUGUUGUUUGCUAAUGAAUUAGGCAUUUUACUUCCCUUGUAUUUUAUCGUUGCGAGGUACAAUAAGGAGAGUCCAAGUGUGAUCUUAGCAAAGGAUGAAAGUCCAAGGGUGAGUCUUGGUAAUGUAAGUCCAAGCAUGUAGUCUUGACAACGUAAGUCCAAGUGUGACUUGACAACAGAUGAAGUUCCAGAUGCUUGGUCUCUUGGUAAAGGAAGAUCCGACAACAAUGAUAAGGCCAAUGGAAACUCUAGAAGGCAAGACAUAAAGGAUGGGGAGACAUCCAAAGAACGCGAGGCUGAUGGAGGAUGAUAGAAGAUUAGGUCUAUGUUGUGCAGGCAAGGACGAGUGCAUGAGAGAUUGUACCUAGGGUAAAUUUUUAAAUCAUUGUAACGAUAUUGUAACAUUACUGUAGCGUUAUUGUAACAAUCUACUGGUAGCCACCGUUGGCUUGUAACAGUCAAAUUUCACU